UCAGUUGUCGUGGCUGGAGUUCUUGACGGCAGACGCUCUGAGUAACGACAGCAGCUUCUGGAACACCAUCAAGUUCCACGGCACCUGGAGACG
Alosa sapidissima (American shad) is the source of this 93-nucleotide long non-coding RNA. RefSeq lists it as uncharacterized. The transcript has 3 exons. Lineage: Eukaryota; Metazoa; Chordata; Actinopteri; Clupeiformes; Clupeidae. The record is from RefSeq and is a predicted model, not a curated record.